AGAAGCAGCCACCAUUUAAAGAGUGCGUAAUAGCUCACUGGUCGAGAGACUCUGCGCCGAAAAUGUCCGGGGCUAAAGUAUGAAACCGAAGUCGUGUCAUAUGCAGCAAUGUAUAUGGGUAGGGGAGCGUUCUCAUCGGAUUGAAGCAGUACCGUAAGGAGUUGUGGACUGAUGAGAAGUGAGAAUGUCGGUAUGAGUAGCGAAAAGAAUGGUGAGAAUCCAUUCCACCGAAAGCCUAAGGGUUCCUGAGCAACGAUCGUCGUCUCAGGGUAAGUCGGGACCUAAGCCGAGGCGGAAAAGCGUAGGCGAUGGACAACAGGUUGAAAUUCCUGUACCGGUGUGAAUCGUUUGAUCGAAGGAGUGACACAGUAAGGUAGGUCAGCACGCGAUUGGAAGUGCGUGUUUAAGCAUGUAGGUUGAGCUAUAGGCAAAUCCGUAACUCUAAAAGCUGAGAUGUGAUGACGAGCUGUUUACAGCGAAGUGAUUGAUCCUACACUGUCGAGAAAAGCUUCUAGGUAGAGACACAUCGCCCGUACCAAAACCGACACAGGUAGGCGGGGAGAGAAUCCUAAGGUGCGCGGGAAAACCCUCGUUAAGGAACUCGGCAAAAUGCCUCCGUAACUUCGGGAAAAGGAGGACUCAUGUAGUGUGAAGGGCAGUAACGCGUGGAGCAUGAAUGAGUGGCACAAGAGAGGCGCAAGCGACUGUUUACCACAAACACAGGUGCCUGCUAAAGCGAAAGCUGAUGUAUAGGUGCUGACACCUGCCCGGUGCUGGAAGGUUAAGAGGAGGGGUUAGACUUCGGUCGAAGCUCUGAAUUGAAGCCCCAGUAAACGGCGGCCGUAACUAUAACGGUCCUAAGGUAGCGAAAUUCCUUGUCGGGUAAGUUCCGACCCGCACGAAAGGUGUAACGACUUGCGCACUGUCUCAACGAGGGACCCGGUGAAAUUGAAGUACCUGUGAAGAUGCAGGUUACCCGCGACUGGACAGAAAGACCCCAUGGAGCUUUACUGCAACCUAAGAUUGAACUUAGUUAAUGAAUGUACAGGAUAGGUGGGAGACUUAGAAUCUAGGGCGCCAGUCUUAGAGGAGUCGUUGUUGGGAUACCACCCUUUGAUUAAUUGAUUUCUAACAGGCCGAUUAACAACCGGCUGGACAGUCUUAGGCGGGCAGUUUGACUGGGGCGGUCGCCUCCUAAAGAGUAACGGAGGCGCCCAAAGGUUCCCUCAGAGCGGACGGAAAUCGCUCGAAGAGUGUAAAGGCAGAAGGGAGCUUGACUGCGAGACGGACAGGUCGAGCAGGGACGAAAGUCGGGCUUAGUGAUCCGGUGGUGCCGAGUGGAAGGGCCAUCGCUCAACGGAUAAAAGCUACCCUGGGGAUAACAGGCUAAUCUCUCCCAAGAGUCCAUAUCGACGGGGAGGUUUGGCACCUCGAUGUCGGCUCAUCACAUCCUGGGGCUGAAGUAGGUCCCAAGGGUUCGGCUGUUCGCCGAUUAAAGUGGUACGUGAGCUGGGUUCAGAACGUCGUGAGACAGUUCGGUCCCUAUCCAUCGCGGGCGCAAGAAACUUGAAGGGGGCUGCUCCUAGUACGAGAGGACCGGAGUGGACGAACCGCUGGUGUACCAAUUAUCC
This 1631-nucleotide ribosomal RNA is filed under the name metagenome. RNAcentral's name for it is "bacterial LSU rRNA". It matches the Rfam family "Bacterial large subunit ribosomal RNA", at positions 1108 to 2726 of the family's 2925-position model. The record is from RNAcentral.